GGAUUUAUUUCAGUACAUGCCGUGGUUAAUUGUUGUCCAUUUUAAUAUUAUGUGUUUGCCAUAUGUGUUGUAAAUUCAGUUAUAUCGCUAGGGGCCCGCUCAAUGGGUCCAGGACUUCACCGUCCUUGGUAUGCCACAAUGCGAUUUCAUGUUAAAGUUAUGGUUGCAACCAGUCGCCAGGGGCCGGCUCAAUCGGUCCAGGACGGAAAGGUCCUUGGUAUGCCACCGUGCGACUUUCAGUUACGAAUGUAUUGAUCAUAUGUGAUUCUCAUUUUAUUAACGUGGACAAUGAUUGCAUGUUCCCACACUGAGUGUACCCUGUAUGCUCAUCCCAUACUUAACAUUUUCAGGUUUUUAAAGGCCGGAGGCGCGUGGAAGGUCGAAUGGCGAGUCAAAUAUUUUGAAUUUAGCAUUACUUAAAAAUGUUAUUUUGAGUAAAGUAUGUUUAAAUAAAAAUUUAUUUCAC
Molecule: long non-coding RNA, 466 nt
Filed under: Salvia miltiorrhiza (redroot sage)
Lineage: Eukaryota; Viridiplantae; Streptophyta; Magnoliopsida; Lamiales; Lamiaceae
Description: long non-coding RNA (SMIL_LNC004182)
Source: RNAcentral